This 300-nucleotide long non-coding RNA is filed under the name Capsicum annuum. RNAcentral describes it as "long non-coding RNA (CANN_LNC008218)". Lineage: Eukaryota; Viridiplantae; Streptophyta; Magnoliopsida; Solanales; Solanaceae. The record is from RNAcentral.
UAGCCUUAGCAUUCUCAAAGAUUGAUUUGAAGGUCUUUCUUUAGUUGUAGCUUGGCUUUUGGAUAGGGUUAGAAAUAAAGGAUGACAUGGGAUCCAAAUGACACUUGAACUGCAGUAGGACCGAGCCCUGAGUAGGGCAGCCUACAUAUCUCACCCCCGAGAGAGGAGAAUCGGGUCGUUCAUAGUUCUAGCAGCUUAUUCUUUUUUUUCUUGAUUCUGACUUGUUCUUUUUUUUUACUUUUUUUUCUUUGUGAUUUUUCUGACUUUAAUUUCUUGACACUUUUUUCUUCCUUCGUGGAC